This 411-nucleotide long non-coding RNA is filed under the name Pelusios castaneus (West African mud turtle). RNAcentral describes it as "lncRNA (ENSPCEG00000020057.1)". The record is from RNAcentral. Lineage: Eukaryota; Metazoa; Chordata; Testudines; Pelomedusidae.
GCUGACUGCAGCGAGGAAGUAGCAGCGGCCGCUCUGAGCUCUCAGGAACAGGCAGGAGGGAGGGAGUGACCCCCCUGCAAAGUACAGCCCCCGCCUGAGCCCACACCCGCCCCCCUCUCCUCUCCUCUCCCCUCCCCCGGGGCCGCUGAGCCGGAGGGGCCCAGCCCGUGUGUAGUGUGCGGAGAUGGCAGGGCUCGUGGGAAAUGGAGCUCAAGUGUCCUACAUUGGUCAAGAUUGCAAAGAAAUUCCAGAAUUUCUAGGAAGAAAAUAUGGAGGUAUUGCAAAACGGCUAGACCUUAGUUUCAACUUGUUAAGGUACUGACUCUGGCAAUCUAAAUAACUUCACAGCAGACAUGAAGACUGUGCCUUGGUGAGUUCCUCAGUUAAUUAUUCUUUAGGCCUUUAACAAAG